RNAcentral lists this ribosomal RNA (448 nucleotides) under uncultured bacterium. Its description in RNAcentral is "bacterial SSU rRNA". It matches the Rfam family "Bacterial small subunit ribosomal RNA", at positions 355 to 796 of the family's 1533-position model. The record is from RNAcentral.
UCGAGAAUUUUUCUCAAUGGGGGAAACCCUGAAGGAGCGACGCCGCGUGGAGGAUGAAGGUCUUCGGAUUGUAAACUCCUGUCAUUAGGGAACAAUUGUCCGCGAUUAACUGUCGCGGGCUUGAUAGUACCUGAAGAGGAAGAGACGGCUAACUCUGUGCCAGCAGCCGCGGUAAUACAGAGGUCUCAAGCGUUGUUCGGAUUCAUUGGGCGUAAAGGGUGCGUAGGCGGCGGGGCAAGUCAGGUGUGAAAUCUCGGGGCUCAACUCCGAAACUGCACUUGAUACUGCCUUGCUAGAGUACUGGAGAGGAGAUUGGAAUUUACGGUGUAGCAGUGAAAUGCGUAGAUAUCGUAAGGAAGACCAGUGGCGAAGGCGAAUCUCUGGACAGUUACUGACGCUGAGGCACGAAGGCCAGGGGAGCAAACGGGAUUAGAUACCCCCGUAGUCC